This 357-nucleotide long non-coding RNA is filed under the name Sus scrofa (pig). RNAcentral's name for it is "lncRNA (ENSSSCG00015078039.1)". Lineage: Eukaryota; Metazoa; Chordata; Mammalia; Artiodactyla; Suidae. The record is from RNAcentral.
GAAGGACGGGGGGCGAGAGCUAAUAACUAGACCGGGAGGCGAGAGCGUGCGGGUGCGGAGACUCCGGGCGGGAAGAAGGACGAGCGGGAAGUCAAGGCUCCAGCCUCUAAAUGUGGUUUGAUAUGUACUACCUUGGUGAGUGUCUGGUCUCUGUAUCCUGAAACAGUUGGGCCUGAAUCCCUGCGGAAAUCUUACCCACCUUUUAAGACUCCAUUCAGCUGCCCUCUUCAUGAAGUCAUCUCUCAUCUUCCACAGAGACAUGAACCAGCGGUAUUCUGUUCAUACCCACUCAGAGAUGUCUUGACCUGAAUGCAAUGCAGUCUCACACCCGGAAGUGGAUGCUGGACCCAAAGACAG